UACACACCGCCCGUCACACCAUGGGAGUGGGUUCCGCCAGAAGCCGUUAGCCUAACCGCAAGGAGGGCGACGACCACGGUGAGAUUCAUGACUGGGGUG
RNAcentral lists this ribosomal RNA (99 nucleotides) under uncultured bacterium. RNAcentral's name for it is "partial 16S ribosomal RNA". It matches the Rfam family "Bacterial small subunit ribosomal RNA", at positions 1384 to 1482 of the family's 1533-position model. The record is from RNAcentral.